Molecule: transfer RNA, 80 nt
Filed under: Nyssomyia flaviscutellata
Lineage: Eukaryota; Metazoa; Arthropoda; Insecta; Diptera; Psychodidae
Description: tRNA-Cys
Source: RNAcentral
AAAGUUGAGAUUAAUUACUAGUCUUAUAUUCAAUAAUGAUAUUAAAUUGCAAAUUUAAAGGAGCAAUAAUGCUAAGACUU